CUGCACGUAGCUCAGCGGUUAGAGCUCCCCACUCUGGAUGGGGCGGUCGAGGGUUCGACUCCCUCCGUGCGUC
This 73-nucleotide transfer RNA is filed under the name Nitrospira sp. Its description in RNAcentral is "tRNA-Gln". It matches the Rfam family "tRNA". Rfam says of the family: Transfer RNA (tRNA) molecules are approximately 80 nucleotides in length. Their secondary structure includes four short double-helical elements and three loops (D, anti-codon, and T loops). Further hydrogen bonds mediate the characteristic L-shaped molecular structure. tRNAs have two regions of fundamental functional importance: the anti-codon, which is responsible for specific mRNA codon recognition, and the 3' end, to which the tRNAs corresponding amino acid is attached (by aminoacyl-tRNA synthetases). tRNAs cope with the degeneracy of the genetic code in two manners: having more than one tRNA (with a specific anti-codon) for a particular amino acid; and 'wobble' base-pairing, i.e. permitting non-standard base-pairing at the 3rd anti-codon position. The record is from RNAcentral. Lineage: Bacteria; Pseudomonadati; Nitrospirota; Nitrospiria; Nitrospirales; Nitrospiraceae.